RNAcentral lists this long non-coding RNA (1734 nucleotides) under Paramuricea clavata. The record is from RNAcentral. Lineage: Eukaryota; Metazoa; Cnidaria; Anthozoa; Malacalcyonacea; Plexauridae.
CUGGAAGGCUAACUCAGGGGGGGAAAAUGCAACCUCGUCCCCAGGGCCUUUUCAGGAAGGAGGCGAAGGGCAGCAAAGGCCCUGGCACAGAAUAGAUAAUAGGACCAGAAGUCUCACUCAAGCGGAAACAUGUCCCAUCUUUUAUACUGCGCAUGCGCGAGCUAAACAAGUGUAAUGCAGUGUUGACAAUAGAAAAUUAUAUUGGGAAGUUGUCAUUUCUACAGUAAAAACAGCUUUUUUUCAAGUAGUACGAAAUGUGACUUCGAUUUAUCUGUGGAACUAUUUAAACAGAAGGUAAAGCAGUAAUUUUGUUGUAUUUAGAAAGCAAACAGGGUCAUAUUUUUAAAAAUAUAGCGCACUGAAUAUAAAUUUGAGCAUCAUUAAAAUGUGUUCGCUAUGAUGCCAUUUUGUCUCCGGUAUAUACGGAGUUCUGCUUUUAUACUUGUGGAUAUUCGAAUGUAUUUGGCUCAAAAAGACCAUUACUUCAAUAUCCCUUUCUUGUUUUUCCUUGGAUAGGUUUUAACAAGAUAGAACUCUAGAUCACUUGGGUCCAAAGACGCUAGAUUAUAAAAUCCUGAUGUGACUUGAUGCUACAAAUAGAAUAUGUCUUAUGAUUUAAUACUACAAAUAGAAUGUAUUUUAAUUACAAACUUCAAUGAAUUGAUAAAGUGUAAGGAUAGUGUUUAAAGUCGCUUCAUGUGUAGAAGCUGAAUUUAGUUUAUACACUGUAUUGUCGAGAUCACAUGUUGAUAUGACUUAGUAGCAACUUGCAUAAGUGGUCUGUACUCUGUUCUGCUUGGACAUUAGAACAUUGUAAUUGCCUGACAGAGACUGUUAGGGCCUGUUUGUAUGGAAGCCGGGCUGGCCUGCUUAGCAAGACAGCCCGGUAAGGUAGGUAAGCAGGAUGAUUUCUCUUGUGUUUAUUUGAGAAAAUUUCAUCCCACUUACCGGGACAAUUUUGUUGUUUUGACAUUAUUUUGACAGUUGUUAAAAAUAGCUUGCGGCAGUAUCUUUGAACUUUCAUCCCGGAAACCGGGCUAGCCUGCUUAUGAUUGUUUAUGUGAGAUUCGAAAUUUCCAUCCUGAUCUUGGCAACCGGGCCUGCCCGCUUGUCCAUAGAAAUGAUAAUUUUUACUAUAAAAAUAACUAGACAGCGAGAUCUCACUUACCGGGCUGUCUCACUUAGCAGGCCAGCCAGUUUCGAUAUAAACAGGCCCUUAGACAACUGCUAAAAGCUGCAAGUUUCUUUAAAGCAAUAUCAUCUAUAUCACAGAAUACAGUUUCUGUAGUGAUAUACUUCAUGUUUUUUUCUGUCUUUAAAGUGUCUUAUGUUUGUAAUAUUUUUGUACAAUACCUUUUUGAAAUUGUUGAUACUGGUCUCAUUGUAACUCAGUUAUUCCUUCUCAAGAAAAAUAAAAAAACAAAGCUGUGUGGGUGUGUUUUUGCUCUAGCUAGUUUUUACAUUUACAUGGUUCAUGUACAAUUAAUGUACAUUUAAAUUAGCUUUGUUCAAUGAAUACAGGUGUGAUUCAAAUAUCAUUCCUGUCAGGUACUUGGGUCAAAUAGACAUAAGCAUACCAAAUCAUGCUGUGAAUUGAAAUACAAGUAUAGGGUGUGUAUUGUUUAAUAAAUAUAUUUUCCAGUUAACCCAGUGAGCUGCAUUGUGCCCCAAUGCACCCUACUUUACUAGUUUAUUUCACUUCAUCUAAUGCCAGAUGAUUUUACUUAUCGAGGG